This 367-nucleotide ribosomal RNA is filed under the name uncultured bacterium. RNAcentral's name for it is "bacterial SSU rRNA". It matches the Rfam family "Bacterial small subunit ribosomal RNA", at positions 99 to 465 of the family's 1533-position model. The record is from RNAcentral.
CGAACGGGUGAGUAAUAUAUCGGAACGUGCCCAGUAGUGGGGGAUAACUGCUCGAAAGAGCAGCUAAUACCGCAUACGACCUGAGGGUGAAAGGGGGGGAUCGCAAGACCUCUCGCUAUUGGAGCGGCCGAUAUCAGAUUAGCUAGUUGGUGGGGUAAAGGCCUACCAAGGCAACGAUCUGUAGUUGGUCUGAGAGGACGACCAGCCACACUGGGACUGAGACACGGCCCAGACUCCUACGGGAGGCAGCAGUGGGGAAUUUUGGACAAUGGGCGCAAGCCUGAUCCAGCAAUGCCGCGUGCAGGAAGAAGGCCUUCGGGUUGUAAACUGCUUUUGUCAGGGAAGAAAUCUUCUGGGCUAAUACCCC